UAGGGAAUCUUCGGCAAUGGGGGCAACCCUGACCGAGCAACGCCGCGUGAGUGAAGAAGGUCUUCGGAUCGUAAAGCUCUGUUGUAAGAGAAGAACGUGUGUGAGAGUGGAAAGUUCACACAGUGACGGUAACUUACCAGAAAGGGACGGCUAACUACGUGCCAG
This 165-nucleotide ribosomal RNA is filed under the name uncultured bacterium. RNAcentral describes it as "partial 16S rRNA". It matches the Rfam family "Bacterial small subunit ribosomal RNA", at positions 355 to 511 of the family's 1533-position model. The record is from RNAcentral.